UCUCUCUCUCUCUCUCUCUCUCUCUCUCUCUCUCCAGUCCGGCCGACUAUUGUCUGACUACGCGCGCGGUACUAUCUACUUGCAUGCUUUCUCAAUCCCUCGGACUACCUCGACACUUACACGUCCGAACAUUGUCGGUUCUUUUCUACUGGAUCUCACGUUCGAGGAAGCCCGAGAGGAAGUAGAGGCGGCCCAUGAGAAAAUACGCGAGGACUACAAAUUAUAUAUAUAUAUAUAUAUACACAUAUAACACACGCAUAUAUAUAUAUAUAUAUAUAUAUAUAUAUAUAUAGUUAAAGCUGCUGUGCGAUAGUCGAUCGAGUGAAAUAGCUCGAUCAUGUUCCUACGGGAGCGGUGCUCGUCGUCCACGUUAUAUAUAUUUUUAUUCGGUUUUAAUCGGUGAUAUGGAUAUGUUUAUUAUUUACGCGAUGAAUACGAUUCAACGGAUGAUGUGUUAACGAUCAUAGAGACAUAACGUCGUUACGAUGUCGUCCCUUUUACUCUGAUAUAUCUAUCGAAGAAACGGAAUAAAGGAAGGAAAGGAAGUAAGGAAUAAGGGAUAAUAAAACGAGACUCGAUCGUCAUGUCCGUCGAACGCUCCACCACGUUUCUUCUUCUGCUUUUGCGCGAUCACGGACGGUGAUACGAGGAACUGGAUAUAUAUACAUAUAUAUGACUAACAGGCAUGCAGCGAGCAUGCCAUGCUCGCUUAACGGAGAGGUAUACGUGUUGCACUCCAGGCGCAACAUGCACCUUUCCGUGCAUCUACCACGUCGUCAACGAGAAGAAGAACAAAAUCAACAACUACAACAACAACUACUACUACAACUACAACAACAACUACAACAACAACAACAAAAUCAAGAACAAGAACAGGAACGACAAAGGUUACAGUAACGGAGUCGACAACGAAAAGAAAACGAGUUGGAUUCACGGAUUGAUUGGAAU
Long non-coding RNA from Vespula pensylvanica (western yellowjacket), 948 nucleotides. RefSeq lists it as uncharacterized. The transcript is spliced from 3 exons. The record is from RefSeq and is a predicted model, not a curated record. Lineage: Eukaryota; Metazoa; Arthropoda; Insecta; Hymenoptera; Vespidae.